AGUGAACGCUGGCGGUAGGCCUAACACAUGCAAGUCGAACGGCAGCACCGUGCUAGCUUGCUCUUCCGGGUGGCGAGUGGCGUACGUGUGAGGAAUACAUCGUAAUCUACUUUUUCGUGUGGGUUCACGUAGGGAAACUUACUCUCAUACCGCAUACGACCUACGGUUGAAAGCAUUGGAUCUUCUGACCUUGCGCGGUUGAAUUCGCCGAUGUCGGAUUAGCUAGUUGGCGGGGUAAAGGCCCACCCAGGCGACGAUCCGUAGCUGGUCUGAGAGGAGGAUCAGCGACACUGGAACUGAGACACGGUCAAGACGCCUAAGGGAGGCAGCAGUGGGGAAUAUUGGACAAUGGGCGCAAGCCUGAUCCAGCCAUACCGCGUGGGUGAAGAAGGCCUUCGGGUUGUAAAGACCUUUUGUUGGGAAAGAAAAGCAGCAGGUUAAGACCACGCUGGUCUGACGGUACCCAAAGAAUAAGCACCGGCUAACUUCGUG
This 492-nucleotide ribosomal RNA is filed under the name uncultured bacterium. RNAcentral describes it as "partial 16S ribosomal RNA". It matches the Rfam family "Bacterial small subunit ribosomal RNA", at positions 29 to 507 of the family's 1533-position model. The record is from RNAcentral.